Molecule: non-coding RNA, 216 nt
Organism: Pelobates cultripes (western spadefoot toad)
Lineage: Eukaryota; Metazoa; Chordata; Amphibia; Anura; Pelobatidae
Source: the annotation of a GenBank genome assembly
GAAAAUUACAAAAAGUGACUAUUGUCAACCUUGGCUUUGCCAAAUCCCUACAGUAGCAGAGCUCCCUGCACCCCGGCUGGGUACCUCCACCAAGGAUCACUUCCUAGCUGGAACCGGGAAAAAAAACCUCAUUGCUUCUGCCCCAGUCGCCGUAGCUUGACUAGGAUCCUCCUGGAGCCUCUUCGUCCUGGGACAGGAUAGGGGACUAGCUCUAUU